GACGAAAGCCAUUAAUUGAUACAAAAGCUAAGAAUAAGAAAUGAAUAAGGGUUAGAAAUUUAAAAUACAAUGAAAUAAUAAUUUAGGAACGUGCUCAGAGCAUACAACUAAACCUAAUCACUAAAAAGAAUUAAGAUAAAAUUGAACGAAUAAAAGAGUGGGUCCUACAUCGAGAGGAUUCAAAGAUGUUGUUGGGGAAGUGUCUUGACGCCGGGAUUUGGUGCCUUGAUCCUAAGUUCUAAAUGGGGGCGCAAAACAAAUGUGAGUGGACCAAGUUCAUAUAUAUAUAUAAUAAUAAUAAAACAGUUAUCAAUGUACUAACCCCCAUAGUUUAUAUAUAAUGAAAACUACUAGCAUAAUAAGUUAUGGAUUUAAUAAAAAUCCUAGCAUGCCAAAAAUAUCUCAAAAGUCAUAUCGCGGAAAUCAAAACAGUAAACGUAUCAUAGAUCGUCUCGUAAGCGUGGUGUGCUGCUAGAAAGAUCACUGAAUAAAUAUAACUUCCGGCCUAAUACCUGCUCCGUGGUCUCUGCGCCCGUAGCCAGAGAUUACCAACUCCCGGCCCAAUGCCUACUCCAUGUCCCUCAGCCCGUAGCUAGGGAUUAUUUCUCCCGGCCUAAAUGCCAACACCAGAUCCUCACCCCAGGCAGCAUAGUGUCCUCUAGGUACGCACAAAUAGUUACGCCUCUCAUAAAUAACCACUUCAUAGUAUAAAGUCAUCCAUCAUCUAUACUAUAAAGAAGGGUUUCUAAAACAUGUUCUAGCAUCCUAUCCUCAUCCAUCAGAUAGUCUACUAGAUCAUGGUUUUUAUAGACAAUACGAUAUAUCAAAAUAUAGCUCAAUAUAAGCCAACAAUUGAUUCCUCACCAAAAACACGAGACGAAAAUCAAUAUAUUUAAUAAACAGACUUCACAUAAAUCAAAUCAUAAACACGUAGGCAUGCUAAUCAUUUAUGCAAUUAAACUAUAAAAUGUAAUUAGAAGGGGUCCACUCACAGUACUUAGUUGCCAAAAGCUACGCCACUAGCGAAGACGGAAACGUCACAAUAAUUGCCCCUAAGCACAUAAAGAGUCCAAUAAAUAAAACUAUAUAAUAGCAAUUGAAUUGGGGAAAAUGGACAUUGGAAACGGAUUCAGAACGUUGAAUUACACUAAGAAGGGUCCCGAACGAAAACCCAAAAAGUCAACCCUAAAGUUAACGUUAACCCUCGGUCAACGGUCAAAUUAGGUCUAAUGGGUUUUAGGCUUGAAAUGCCGAUUAGGGUUUAGGUUUAGGUUGAAAUAAGGUUAGGAUCUAUUGAGUUUUGGUUUUGGAUAGGUUAGGUACAAAAUGGGUGGUUUGCGCUUAAGCCCAAAUCCACACACAACACACACACACACACACACACACUCACACACACACACUCAUAACCCAAAGGCCUCACAACCAAAAGGGUUGGGCUCGGCAGGGAAGGCCCAAAUGGCUUAGGUUUGGUGGGUCGCCGGACCCAAUGGGAAAGAAAGCCAGAAAUCGGCAGGAAAAUGCACAACCUUUAAAUGGCCAUAACUUUGUCAAAACUAAACGAAAUCAAGUUAUUCAAAAGCAAAAGUUGUAGCCCUCAAAGAGACGAAGAGAAUGUUACCUCACAUGACGUCUAACGAGCCUUGGUUUGGCCAAAAAAUGCCUUGAAACCCUCGAAGGUCGCCGGAAACUGGGUAAGAUUCAAAUGAGUAUAACUUCUUCAAUACUCAAUGAAAUUGAGUGAAACAAAAAGGAAAGUUGUAGUACUCGAUGACAUAAAGAGAUUGAUACCUUUCACUGUUGCCAACUCACUGUGGUUUGGCCGGAAAUUAUCUCGAAAGUGAUGGUGCUCGUCGAAAAAUAUGGAGAAUGCUCCCCGAGCUGUUUUCACGUUUAAACCUUCACCAAAAACCACUUUUUAACAACCACUAAGCCUUUUAGACUACCAGGGAGAAAGAUGGAAGAGUGGUUCAACUUACCUUUGUUGGAAAACACCUGCACAAUGACUGUGCAUAGUGCAAAAAAUAGACCGGAGAGGUGAGGGAGAGAAUGAAGGUCUGAGUGUUGGUGAUGGGUGGUGUCGUCUUCGUUGAUGUGGUGUGGAAGUGAGGGUGUGUGGGUUGGUUCACGGGGAGAAGGAGAGAGUGUAGAGAAAGAGCACGAGUAGAGAUGAGAGAGAGAGGGAAAAGAAAGAAUUGAGAGAUAAGAGAAAUCGGGGACACAAAAGCAAGGUGGGCCCUCUGGGCACACGUAUUAAGACCGAAAAACAAUUUUAAAAGCAAGAUAAACUCAAACUUAGUGAAAAUACAAUUUAAAUUAGGGGUGGGGUGUAACAAUCUACCCCCCUUAAAAGAAUUUCAUCUUCGAAAUUUAAAAUCAUUUACUAAACUGAAAUACUCGAAAAUAGGAAGAAGAAUAUAUGUAUAAAGAGAAAUCAAGUCAGAGUGGGUGCAUCAAAGAGAAUAUGCCACACCGUCGCGAGUGGGUUGCAAAAUCCUCUAUCAUGCCUCCAAACUCUUACUUUCAUUCUCAACAGUGUGAAAGUAGAAAACAUACUUUAUAAAGAUAUAAAGUCGAAAACGCAUAUUAACGUAAGGUCAAAAAUAUGUAUGUGAAAUACAAUAACAUCAAAAUAGAUAAGUAAUAACAUAUAGGUUGAAAACUCAAAUCAACUUAAAAAUGAAAAUAGAAAUACUUUUCCAAAAACAUUUGUAAUGUCAAAACAAUUAACUAGAGUAAAUGAAGUUAAAAUACUUAUACUGAAAACCAAAACUGAAAAAUGAGAGUGGGUCUUACCCAAGAAUUCGAAACGUUAUGUACUCUGAGAACAGAUGUGUCUUUAGGUCGAGCUCCAAGAAUCAAAAAUCCGUAACAACUGUCGUAGACGAGUCUUCCCGCCCAUUUGCUUAAUGAACCCAACAAAUAAGCUAUCGAUAUCAUAGUCUGCAACCCACAAUAUCGACCUCACAUUUGUUGUCUUGAUAAGAAAGUAGUAAUUUCUCAAAGGUGUACAAUUUCCCAUAUCGUAGGAUCGAUCAUCCAAAUACAAGUUCGCAAGACUUUUCUGUCAACCAAUAUUGUCCGUGAAAAACUCUUGUACCAUGUCGUAAAAAGUGCCAUACACCAAACCGAACAAAACAGAAAAUGUAGUCGUAACACUUUAUCCAGCACCAAGCAUCAAAUUCUCUUCAGUUUUAACUGUACCUUGGGAUUCAAUAGAAGUGGCUACCAUGUUAAAAGUAGACCCAAAAACUCGAACUAAGCAAGCAAAAAGCAAGAAGUCAUCUUCCUCAACACGCAGUAUCUCUUGGGAACUGUUGUAGUGCUCAAUCCACCUCUCCAUUUUUGCUUAGUUGCAUAUUUCUAGUCAACCAAGGUCAAAGUUAGUAGAAAGAAGAACGACUCGCAAAUGGUCAACCUAAAAACAAAAAAGAGUACACACCUUUUGAGAGAAGUGUAAAGAUUAUCCAAUUCUCGCUUCGACCGUCCUGUAGUGCCAUCCCAGAAUGCACCAAACAAAUCUGCUAGAAAUGUUUUAACAACCACGUACUCACAACAAUAAGGUUCAAAAGUGAAGCAGUGGAAAUAUGCGUUGAGACAAACACAUAUCGUUGGAAAAUAACCGAUAUGAUGCCUAUGAAUUCUAGUAAGAUGGUGAUACAAUAUGCUGACCUUCAGUACUAAAACCUUCAACCAACUCUUACUAAAAGAUUGCUCGAACCUCACACCCAUGUGCUCUCGAACUAAAGGAUCCUAGUGAGAGGUAGUGGAAAGCUGCGUUGAGGCGAACACAUCACAUCAUCAAAAAGGUAUACCAGAGUAAGAUAUAAUGGUUAUGAAUUGUAGCAAGAUAAUGAGUGGUGACCAUUCAAUUCAACAUGAAGAUAUUGAUGCAAUCUGCUGAAACCUCAUACCCACAUGGAACUCUUUCUGGUAAGUCUGGUAAACUUGUGAAAAGAUUAUACUCCUAAUAUUCCUGUCCAAUUUGAUAAGAAUUGGGCACACACUUCCGCCAAAUCCAUUGAUCAUGAAUUCCUCACUAAUUGAGCGAGAAACCAUGUCGGAAAGGCUGAGAUAAUACUCCAGAAUUUGAGAGUCAAAACAAGUCCAUUACAAUCCAGAGUACAAUAUAUCGAGAUUUGAACUAGAAACCAUGCCGACAGAAUGAUCCAGUUUCACAAUGAGAGACGAAUAAGCAAAGGAAGGUGAAAAUGCAGAAAUAGAAGUCACUAUUUAUGAUUAUUUUGCAAAUCAUCAUAGUAUGGUCAACUGGUUUCUUAGCCAAAAAGGAAUUAGGUCUAAGCUAAAGAAUAGUUAAGAACUGUUGAUAAGAUUUGAUGACGCUAAAGAAAUUUUGAAAUUCACAAUACUUUGUGAGAGCUGUUUCAAAGUUCAAAAAUUAAACAUAGAGCCUCUGAAUCAGCAGAAUGACGAAGAAGAAAGAUACAAAGCAGCCUGCGUAUGCAUGCAGUGACACGAUUGGCUACCUUAAAGUGAUGCUCUUGCGCAAACCAAAGCUCAUUGAGUCCAGAGAAGUUCAGAGUAAAGCUCAAUCUUCAUACAAUGAUGAAUAUGGUAGAGUCUCAAGCCAUUAAACUGAAAAUUACAAGGCUGAACAUUUAGUGGACAAGAGUACUGAUCAGUUGGGCUACAAGCGAGAACCUAAGUCCAUCUCUAUCGAAAAGUACAUGGACAAGGAGCUAGGGUUUUUCACCGAGUACCAAACCUAGGUGAAGUUUAAGGAAUCUGUUUAUCCAAACAAGUUUGGAUCUUCAUCAUCUAAUUCCAACUACGACAACAAUAAGAAUUGCAACUCCUUUUAGAAAUUGAUGAGAACGUCUGUUACCGAGGAGUUUCCCAAGAAAAGCAAUUAAUGUAAACAAAAUCAACACUCGAAGAAUUUGGUGUAAAGCUGACGGUCAACGGUUAAGGAACUUGACUUCAUCGCUAGAGAAAUCAAGAAGAUUAUCGAUAGAAUAAUCGUCGAGGACUUGUACCAAAGAUCCACACGAAUUUCCUCAAUGGAAACGAGUUCAAGAAUGUUGAUUCCAAUUCCAACUAACACUUUCCAGAUUUCAUCACAACCAACGUUUACUUGUUUUCUCCAACAUGCAUGUCAAAUGUCUUAAGUAGUUUCCACAUAGAUGUGACCUUGCCCGCCAUUCCUAGGUAACACAUGUCAUAGAGUGACACCAUCGAUUCAGAACCUCGAUUGGUCUUAACCAAUUCGUACCGCCAAUCCAAAGAUUUCGAUGUAGAGCCAACUUUACCUACAAUUCCUAGGAAACGCAUGUUGCAGAGUGGCAUCGCCAUUUUGGAUCAACGGCUGGUUUUAACCAGAAUUCCUCAAAUUGAGAUUUCUAAAACACGUCACUGAGUAUCGAUCCGAUGUUAAAAGUCGUCUAACAAAACAAACACGUCACUUGAGGCACAAUCCCGACAAGAAUUCUUGUUUUUCAACCAGAAGGUGACAAUUCAAACAAAGAAAGGUUCGCACAACUGCUCCGAAUAACACCAAAUCUAGAAGUCCUGACAUCCAAAUGAUGUCAAAACUGACACUUUACGAGAAUAGAAGAGAAUCCUAAGUAUGCUCUAAACAAACCACGCUCUGAUACCAAUCUGACACGCCCCGACCCUGAUAUUCCCCGAAUACCAGGAUAAACACUUGCUGGCCGACAUCCGAGGGUGACAAAAGCCAUUAAUUGAUACAAAAGCUAAGAAUAAGAAAUGAAUAAGGGUUAGAAAUUUAAAAUACAAUGAAAUAAUAAAUUAGGAACGUGCUCAGAGCAUACAACUAAACCUAAUCACUAAAAAGAAUUAAGAUAAAAUUGAAUGAAUAAAGAAGUGGGUCCUACAUCGAGAGGAUUCAAAGAUGCUGCUGCGGAAGUGUCUUGACGCCGGGAUUAGGUGCCUUGAUCCUAAGUCCUGAAUGGGGGCACAAAACAAAGGUAAGUGGACCAAGUUCAUAUAUA
RNAcentral lists this long non-coding RNA (5969 nucleotides) under Malus domestica (apple). RNAcentral's name for it is "long non-coding RNA (MDOM_LNC010937)". Lineage: Eukaryota; Viridiplantae; Streptophyta; Magnoliopsida; Rosales; Rosaceae. The record is from RNAcentral.